CACCUUGGAGAACUGAUGU
Molecule: small nuclear RNA, 19 nt
Filed under: Arabidopsis thaliana (thale cress)
Lineage: Eukaryota; Viridiplantae; Streptophyta; Magnoliopsida; Brassicales; Brassicaceae
Description: snRNA_16615
Source: RNAcentral